This 403-nucleotide ribosomal RNA is filed under the name uncultured bacterium. Its description in RNAcentral is "partial 16S ribosomal RNA". It matches the Rfam family "Bacterial small subunit ribosomal RNA", at positions 338 to 755 of the family's 1533-position model. The record is from RNAcentral.
CCUACGGGAGGCAGCAGUGGGGAAUAUUGGGCAAUGGGCGCAAGCCUGACCCAGCAACGCCGCGUGAAGGAAGAAGGCUUUCGGGUUGUAAACUUCUUUUGUCAGGGACGAAGCAAGUGACGGUACCUGACGAAUAAGCCACGGCUAACUACGGGCCAGCAGCCGCGGUAAUACGUAGGUGGCAAGCGUUAGCCGGAUUUACUGGGUGUAAAGGGCGUGUAGGCGGGGAGGCAAGUCAGAUGUGAAAACCCCGGGCUCAACCUGUGGCCUGCAUUUGAAACUGUUUUUCUUGAGUGCUGGAGAGGCAAUCGGACUUCCAUGUGUCGCGGUGAAAUGCGUAGAUAUCCGGAGGAACACCAGUGGCGAAGGCGGAUUGCUGGACAGUAACUGACGCUGCGGCGCG